UACGUAGGGGGCAAGCGUUGUCCGGAAUCAUUGGGCGUAAAGCGCGCGUAGGCGGCCCGGUAAGUCCGCUGUAAAAGUCCAGGGCUCAACCCUGGAAAGCCGGUGGAUACUGUCGGGCUAGAGUCCGGAAGAGGCGAGUGGAAUUCCUGGUGUAGCGGUGGAAUGCGCAGAUAUCGGGAAGAACACCCGUGGCGAAGGCGGCUCUCUGGGACGGUACUGACGCUGAGACGCGAAAGCGUGGGGAGCGAACAGG
RNAcentral lists this ribosomal RNA (253 nucleotides) under uncultured bacterium. RNAcentral's name for it is "partial 16S ribosomal RNA". It matches the Rfam family "Bacterial small subunit ribosomal RNA", at positions 524 to 776 of the family's 1533-position model. The record is from RNAcentral.